This is a non-coding RNA of Sus scrofa (pig), 636 nucleotides long. The record is from RefSeq and is a predicted model, not a curated record. NCBI's taxonomy places the organism in Eukaryota, Metazoa, Chordata, Mammalia, Artiodactyla, Suidae.
AGCCGCUGCACUAGAAAGACCCGAAGGUGAUGCUGAUAACAGCAGCUUUAUUUUAAGCAGCUUCUACUUUCUUUGCACUUGAGGUAAAGCAGAAGAUGAGGAAACUGAGGGUCAGUGAAGUUAAAUAACUUGCUCAGAACCAUGGAACUAGCAAGGGGCAAAUCUAGCCUUCAAAUCUUCAUCUUACUUUGAAGCCACCGUGUUACACAGUCACAUUCAAAUCUCUGUCGACAACCUCUGGACCCCAGGGUUUAAGAUAGGGAGACUGAAAAAAAGAAAGUGACAGCGUGUCUCACUGGGCUGAGUGACCAUAUUUAACAGCAGUAAAUAUUUGCACAUUGUUUCUGAAAGACUCACAGCAGAAAAUGAGAGAAACAUGGAGAAAAUAAUUAUUGGUGGUGAGAGGUUAUAAAGAGAUGAAUUUCUUCCAAGAUACAGUAAGAGGAGUCAGCCCAUCGCUUCAGAGGUGUGUUGGUAUGUACAUGUGUGGUUGGGGUAGGGACCACUAAAUUAACAGUGUGGGACAACAGAAUGUUAUGAUUCUAGCAGGGAUUAAAACUGAGAAGGAGAGAAACCAAAUACUUCUCAUUCAAUAAUAGAGGUUCCAUUGACUCCAUUUUUGUUUUGUUUUAGUUU